RNAcentral lists this ribosomal RNA (729 nucleotides) under uncultured fungus. Its description in RNAcentral is "eukaryotic LSU rRNA". The stretch from base 497 to 729 matches the Rfam family "Eukaryotic large subunit ribosomal RNA", at positions 1 to 231 of the family's 3401-position model. Lineage: Eukaryota; Fungi. The record is from RNAcentral.
AAAAUAGCAAUUCUUCUGAAAUACUUCAUUAACCCAUUCCGAGUACCUUACCCGUUGCUUCCGCGAGGCUGUCCUCACGGCCCUUUGAAGAUUUAUCUUUGGAGAGUCCUUGCGGGAGGUAUACAAUAAACUCUUGCAUUACCAUGUCAUCUGUCUGAAUCUGUUUAAAACAAAUAUUAAAACUUUCAACAACGGAUCUCUUGGUUCUCGCAUCGAUGAAGAACGCAGCGAAAUGCGAUAAGUAGUGUGAAUUGCAGAAACUAGUGAAUCAUUGAAUCUUUGAACGCACAUUGCGCCUCCUGGUAUUCCGGGAGGCAUGCCUGUUCGAGCGUCAUUAAAAACCACUCAAGCUCUUUUGCUUGGUCAUGGAAGAAGAGUUUGCUUGCAAUCUCUCCUCCGAAAUUCAAAGGCGGAAAGUCUCAGAGCCCCGGCGUAGUAAUAAUAUUUCGCUUGGAACUUGAAAUGAUCCUGCCCUUAACCCCCAAUUUAUCUAGGUUGACCUCGGAUCAGGUAGGGAUACCCGCUGAACUUAAGCAUAUCAAUAAGCGGAGGAAAAGAAACCAACAGGGAUUGCCUUAGUAACUGCGAGUGAAGCGGCAAAAGCUCAAAUUUGAAAUCUAGCGUCUUCGACGUCCGAGUUGUAAUUUGGAGGGGCAUCUUCGGAAUUGGCGCCGUCCUAAGUUCCUUGGAACAGGACGUCAUAGAGGGUGAGAAUCCCGUGCCUGGAUG